UACGAAGGGUGCAAGCGUUGUUCGGAGUCAUGGGGCGUAAAGCGCGCGCAGGCGGGUCAAUAAGUCAGGUGUGAAAUCUCGGAGCUCAACUCCGAAACUGCGCCUGAAACUAUUGGUCUAGAAUGUCGGAGGGGGUAGGGGAAUUUCACGUGUAGGGGUAAAAUCCGUAGAGAUGUGAAGGAACACCGGAGGCGAAGGCGCCUGCCUGGACGACUAUUGACGCUGAGGCGCGAAAGCGUGGGGAGCAAACAGG
This 253-nucleotide ribosomal RNA is filed under the name uncultured bacterium. Its description in RNAcentral is "partial 16S ribosomal RNA". It matches the Rfam family "Bacterial small subunit ribosomal RNA", at positions 524 to 776 of the family's 1533-position model. The record is from RNAcentral.